Molecule: small RNA, 538 nt
Filed under: Pongo abelii (Sumatran orangutan)
Lineage: Eukaryota; Metazoa; Chordata; Mammalia; Primates; Hominidae
Description: processed transcript
Source: RNAcentral
UUUAGAUGGGGAAACUGAGGCACAGGGAAUUAGACCAAAAUUUAUGCCAGGAUGUAUAAACAGGCAUGUUCAGUGUUCAUGUUUUUAAACGAGUACUAUAAACUGUCUUGUUCUGAGUAAUCCCAGGGGCAGAAGACGUAUUUCAGCUCUAGGUAAAGGAAGAGCUGUCACUUAGCUCCAUCUGUGAAUGGAGCCAAUGGCCUGCCUCAGGGGGUGGUGAAAGGUGUUCAGAGGAUUGAAAAUUGCUUGAAUGGAAGCCCCUUCUCUCUGGUUAACCAUCACAUCCCUAGCACGGUGCCUGACACUUACUGGGCCACAGUCAAUGCUUGCUGGAUAAACGGAUGAAGAGCCAGCCUAGACCACUGAUCCCUUCUGAUCUGCCCUCCUUGGAUUCUAGAGAGGCUGUCAUGUCCAGCGACUUUGCCAUCACCCGCUUUAAGCAUCUCAAGAAGUUGCUGCUCGUGCAUGGCCACUGGUGUUACUCACGCCUGGCCAGGAUGGUGGUGUACUACCUCUACAAGAACGUGGUAAGUAGCCU